AUUGAACGCUGGCGGCAGGCCUAACACAUGCAAGUCGAACGAGUGGCGGACGGGUGAGUAAUGUCUGGGAAACUGCCAGAUGGAGGGGGAUAACUACUGGAAACGGUAGCUAAUACCGCAUACCAUCGGAUGUGCCCAGAUGGGAUUAGCUAGUAGGUGGGGUAACGGCUAACCUAGGCGACGAUCCCUAGCUGGUCUGAGAGGAUGACCAGCCACACUGGAACUGAGACACGGUCCAGACUCCUACGGGAGGCAGCAGUGGGGAAGAUUGCACAAUGGGCGCAAGCCUGAUGCAGCCAUGCCGCGUGUAUGAAGAAGGCCUUCGGGUUGUAAAGUACUUUCAGUCGGGAGGCGUUACCCACAGAAGAAGCACCGGCUAACUCCGUGCCAGCCGCCGCGGUAAUAC
Molecule: ribosomal RNA, 406 nt
Filed under: uncultured bacterium
Lineage: Bacteria
Description: partial 16S ribosomal RNA
Rfam family: Bacterial small subunit ribosomal RNA
Source: RNAcentral